GAUCGAACCUGAGUCCCAGCAGUGACAGCAAUGAAUCCUUAAUUGCUAAGCCAUCGGGGAACUCCUCCUCUGAGUACUCUUCGACUAGUUCCUGACCUUGACCCUGUCAUUGGCAGAGUCAGUUCAAUUUUAGCAAGAAUCUUGCUAGAUCUGUUUAGUAGAAACCCUCCACCUUGAUAUCUGAUCAAAUUCCUUAUUCCCAGCCUCCAUAACAUAUCACCCUACCCUGCCUUGAGCAAGAAUCCAGUCGAGUCACAUUUAUAGAGUUUCCGUUAGAUUUGAUGUUUCCUCUUAGUAAUUUAGCAUCACUGACUCCCACUCUGCUCCUUGGCUAUUAAUCUCCAUUUGUCCUGUUGUAUUCACUGUUGAGUCCAGUCUCUCCACUCUACUACAAAACCCCAUUAUAGUUAACCCUUGGAAUCAAGUCUACCUAACUUGUCUUUAACAAAUGUCAUGAGUUUUUUUGUUUUGUUUUGUUUUUUUUUAGCAGAGAGCCAGGGUCCUGCUAUAUAUGAGUACAAACAGAGGGAUGGAGAAAGAAAAGCAAAAGGCACAUACUUAGAAUGAAUGCAUUCUGACCUCUCAGGCAGGUGUCAGCCCAGGUCAGGUACUAACUUGCCACCUGGGACUGGAGGAGAGGUGAUCAUUAGGGACAUGGGACCCAGAGGAAACGGCUUUUUUUUAAUCAAAGCUCUGCCCACAUUCAAAGCUCUUGUUCUUGGGCCUGAGGCAGUGAGGUGUCCAGAGAGUAAAGAGAAGGGACUAUUGCAGAGCUGGUCAGGCAUCAUGUCCCCACUGAUCAAGAGGCAGCCUGGAAAGAACAGGAGCGGGCACCAAGGACAUUCUUCAUCUUCAGGAUGAAGGAGGAUGGUUCUGUGGGAGGCUGGUUCUGUGGGAACAUUUCCUGGACCUACGUGGCUCUGAAACGCCCACUGGCAGGUGAGUGACAGGAAGCUUCUGCCCACAGCCCAGGAGCAACUCAGUCCAGAGUCUCCCACCUUCUCUCACUUGCACACAAGAGCAGCCUGUCCUCACCCUUCCUGGGCACUCUGCUCCCCUGUUCUGGCCACCUCUGCAUCUUCCUGGCCUCCCAGACUGAGAUGGACAAGCCCUUGCUGCUGCUGUUGCUGCUGGCAGUCUUUCCUUUGGUCUUCUUCCAAGGAGUGGCUCCAGAUACAGUAUGUAUGGUAUGCCAAAAUUAUAAGAAAGGUCAGUGUUUGAGGGGCAAAGACAAAUGCAUCAUGGAACAAGGUCCUGGAUGCAGAACCAGAGAUUUCUUCAUUUUCUCGGCGAAAGAUGGAUGGCGCUAUAACCACACUCAACUGGACUGUUACGAUUAUUGUGUAUCUUCAAAUUUCUAUUUUGGGGACCUGAAGAUUUCAACCUUUUGCUGUAAAGGUCGAGAUUUCUGUAAUAUAUAUCAUGGAAAAGGACAGGAACCAUAGGCUCACUAACGGCAAAUUCCUUUAUCAGUGGUGGUGUCUACUGACCCUCUGUUCCUGGCAUCUCUGGUCCUGGAUCCCUCCACGUGUGCUCUCGCGAAAAGCAUGCAGUGUCCUCCUCUCUCCUCCAAGUUCCCCUCCUCACUUCUCUCCUGGCCACUGCUCCUUCCUCUGACACCAGGUACUCUCCAUUCACCCUUGGUUCUUCUCUCUGCUCCAUUCACAUCCGCAAGUCAUCAGCCCACCUCACCUGGCCUUUCCUGAGCCCUCAUGGUCCCUCCAUUUCUCUGGCUGCCUGCUCUCUAAUCCUACCAACUUAGAAGUGACUGCAAUGAGCCCAGAAAGGUGAUGGGUUCCAUUUUACCCAUUGGGACUUUGUGGGGUCAGUGGGAAGCUCAGGGAAAUGUGUCCAACUGGCAGAUGGAUUGAGAGGCCUCAGAGUCCAAGAAGGUACCAAGGCCUAAGGCAGAAAAAGUACGAUCUUCAGAUUUCGAUGCUAUGCACACACUCAGAGUCUCUUGAUAGCUUAGGUUGUAAGACUUAAAGAGGUUGUCCAGUGAGUGAGGUGGGAACAGGGGGGAUAAGUCAUUGACACUAGAGACCACCAAAAGAAAAGUGGGUGAGGGCACUCUCCAAAAAAGUCAUGGGUGAUGGUUAGAGAAGUAGUUGGGGAAGCAGGACUGCAGAGUGUCACUUCCUGUUUAUUUCUUUUGUCUUUUUGCCUUUUUCUAGGGCCACUCCUGUGGUAUAUGGAGGUUCCCAGGCUAGGGGUCUAAUCAGAGGUGUAGCC
Sus scrofa (pig) is the source of this 2232-nucleotide non-coding RNA. NCBI's taxonomy places the organism in Eukaryota, Metazoa, Chordata, Mammalia, Artiodactyla, Suidae. The record is from RefSeq and is a predicted model, not a curated record.